GCUGGCGACGUGCUUAACACAUGCAAGUCGAACGGAAAGGCCCUGCUUUUGUGGGGUGCUCGAGUGGCGAACGGGUGAGUAACACGUGAGUAACCUGCCCUUGACUUUGGGAUAACUUCAGGAAACUGGGGCUAAUACCGGAUAGGAGCUCCUGCUGCAUGGUGGGGGUUGGAAAGUUUCGGCGGUUGGGGAUGGACUCGCGGCUUAUCAGCUUGUUGGUGGGGUAGUGGCUUACCAAGGCUUUGACGGGUAGCCGGCCUGAGAGGGUGACCAGCCACAUUGGGACUGAGAUACGGCCCAGACUCCUACGGGAGGCAGCAGUGGGGAAUAUUGCACAAUGGGCGGAAGCCUGAUGCAGCAACGCCGCGUGCGGGAUGACGGCCUUCGGGUUGUAAACCGCUUUCGCCUGUGACGAAGCGUGAGUGACGGUAAUGGGUAAAGAAGCACCGGCUAACUACGUGCCAGCAGCCGCGGUGAUACGUAGGGUGCGAGCGUUGUCCGGAUUUAUUGGGCGUAAAGGGCUCGUAGGUGGUUGAUCGCGUCGGAAGUGUAAUCUUGGGGCUUAACCCUGAGCGUGCUUUCGAUACGGGUUGACUUGAGGAAGGUAGGGGAGAAUGGAAUUCCUGGUGGAGCGGUGGAAUGCGCAGAUAUCAGGAGGAACACCAGUGGCGAAGGCGGUUCUCUGGGCCUUUCCUGACGCUGAGGAGCGAAAGCGUGGGGAGCGAACAGGCUUAGAUACCCUGGUAGUCCACGCUGUAAACGGUGGGUACUAGGUGUGGGGUCCAUUCCACGGGUUCCGUGCCGUAGCUAACGCUUUAAGUACCCCGCCUGGGGAGUACGGCCGCAAGGCUAAAACUCAAAGGAAUUGACGGGGCCCCGCACAAGCGGCGGAGCAUGCGGAUUAAUUCGAUGCAACGCGUAGAACCUUACCUGGGUUUGACAUGGAUCGGGAGUGCUCAGAGAUGGGUGUGCCUCUUUUGGGGUCGGUUCACAGGUGGUGCAUGGCUGUCGUCAGCUCGUGUCGUGAGAUGUUGGGUUAAGUCCCGCAACGAGCGCAACCCUCGUUCACUGUUGCCAGCACGUUAUGGUGGGGACUCAGUGGAGACCGCCGGGGUCAACUCGGAGGAAGGUGGGGAUGACGUCAAGUCAUCAUGCCCCUUAUGUCCAGGGCUUCACGCAUGCUACAAUGGCUGGUACAGAGAGUGGCGAGCCUGUGAGGGUGAGCGAAUCUCGGAAAGCCGGUCUCAGUUCGGAUUGGGGUCUGCAACUCGACCUCAUGAAGUCGGAGUCGCUAGUAAUCGCAGAUCAGCAACGCUGCGGUGAAUACGUUCCCGGGGCUUGUACACACCGCCCGUCAAGUCAUGAAAGUUGGUAACACCCGAAGCCGGUGGCCUAACCGUUGUGGGGGAGCCGUCGAAGGUGGGACUGGUGAUUAGGA
This 1438-nucleotide ribosomal RNA is filed under the name uncultured organism. RNAcentral describes it as "partial small subunit ribosomal RNA". It matches the Rfam family "Bacterial small subunit ribosomal RNA". The record is from RNAcentral.